AUGGGUUUCUUGAUCUGCGCCUGCCUCCUCCAGCUGCUCUUCUUGGGCUCUUCUCCGGCGGCGGCACAGUCACCGUCGCCGGCGAGGGCCCUGGACGCAAUGCUGCAGGACUACGCGUACCGGGCCUUCGUCCGGCCGCACACCGGCAUUGUCUACAACGCCACCGUGCCUGCGGACCUCGCCGGCGUCGCGGUGUCCGGGCUCCGCCUGCGCAGCGGCAGCCUGCGGAGGAAAGGCUUCUCCGACUACUUCGAGUUCAGCAUCCCCCCUGGCGUCAUCGUGCAGCCGUACGUCGAGAGGGUGGUGCUCGUGUACCACAACCUGGGCGAGCUGUCGGAGAAGUACUACCCGCUCCCCGGCUACACCUACCUCUCGCCCAUUCUCGGGCUGCUGGUCUACGACGCUGCCAACUUGUCAGCAACGGGAUUGUCCGAGCUGAGCAUCGUCGCGUCAGGGAGCCCGAUUUCUGUGAGUUUCAGCAAUGUGAGGGCGGUGCCCCCAGGCAGUCCAGCGCCGCAGUGUGUGUGGUUUGAUUUGGAUGGGGUGCCACAGUUCCGGGGCUUGGAGGCAAACAACGUGUGUGCAACCUAUCGCCGAGGGCACUUCUCCAUAGUGGUGAACUCCAGUGAGGUUGCUCCUGCUCCAGGGCCUUCAGGCGCAAUUGCCCCACCAAUACCGACUAAUGGUGGUCGUGAUAAGGGUAGUUCGGACGCAUGGAAGAUUGCUGUCGGCGUUGUUGGGGGCGUCAUUGCAUUGGGGCUGUUGGCUUUGCUUCUGGUGUGUUUUGUCAGAUAUAAAAGGGAAAAGAAGAUGGAGGUGAUGGAACGAAAUGCAGAGGUCGGGGAGACUUUGCGCAUGGCGCAGGUUGGGCGGUCGCAAGCGCCUGUAGCGUUGGGAACGCGAACAAAACCUGUGAUUGAGAGUGAGUACGUUGCCUAG
Molecule: ribosomal RNA, 939 nt
Filed under: Triticum aestivum (bread wheat)
Lineage: Eukaryota; Viridiplantae; Streptophyta; Magnoliopsida; Poales; Poaceae
Description: partial small subunit ribosomal RNA
Source: RNAcentral